This 520-nucleotide ribosomal RNA is filed under the name uncultured bacterium. RNAcentral describes it as "partial 16S ribosomal RNA". It matches the Rfam family "Bacterial small subunit ribosomal RNA", at positions 28 to 507 of the family's 1533-position model. The record is from RNAcentral.
GACGAACGCUGGCGGCGUGCCUAAUACAUGCAAGUCGAACGCACUCUCGUUUAGAUUGAAGGAGUUUGCUCCUGAUUGAUAAACAUUUGAGUGAGUGGCGGACGGGCGAGUAACACGUGGGUAACCUGCCCUAAAGUGGGGGAUAACAUUUGGAAACAGAUGCUAAUACCGCAUAAAACCUAACACCGCAUGGUGUAGGGUUGAAAGAUGGUUUCGGCUAUCACUUUAGGAUGGACCCGCGGUGCAUUAGUUAGUUGGUGAGGUAAAGGCUCACCAAGACCGUGAUGCAUAGCCGACCUGAGAGGGUAAUCGGCCACACUGGGACUGAGACACGGCCCAGACUCCUACGGGAGGCAGCAGUAGGGAAUCUUCCACAAUGGACGAAAGUCUGAUGGAGCAACGCCGCGUGAGUGAAGAAGGUUUUCGGAUCGUAAAACUCUGUUGUUGGAGAAGAAUGUAUCUGAUAGUAACUGAUCAGGUAGUGACGGUAUCCAACCAGAAAGCCACGGCUAACUACGUG